GAUCCUGCUCAGGAUGAACGCUAGCUACAGGCUUAACACAUGCAAGUCGAGGGGAAACGACAUCGAAAGCUUGCUUUUGAUGGGCGUCGACCGGCGCACGGGUGAGUAACGCGUAUCCAACCUGCCCAUCACUUGGGAAUAACCUUGCGAAAGUAAGACUAAUGCCCAAUGAUAUCCCACGAAGGCAUCCGAAUGGGAUUAAAGAUUUAUCGGUGAUGGAUGGGGAUGCGUCUGAUUAG
RNAcentral lists this ribosomal RNA (239 nucleotides) under uncultured bacterium. Its description in RNAcentral is "partial 16S ribosomal RNA". It matches the Rfam family "Bacterial small subunit ribosomal RNA", at positions 15 to 244 of the family's 1533-position model. The record is from RNAcentral.